CCUACGGGUGGCAGCAGUGAGGAAUAUUGGUCAAUGGGCGCGAGCCUGAACCAGCCAAGUAGCGUGAAGGAUGACUGCCCUACGGGUUGUAAACUUCUUUUAUAAAGGAAUAAAGUGUGGCACGUGUGCCUUUUUGUAUGUAUUUUAUGAAUAAGGAUCGGCUAACUCCGUGCCAGCAGCCGCGGUAAUACGGAGGAGCCGAGCGUUAUCCGGAUUCAUUGGGCUUAAAGGGAGCGUAGGAGGGCGUUAAAGUCAGCUGUAAAAUCGCGCGGCUCAACCGCGCCCCGCAGUUGAAACUGGAAGCCUUGAGUUCACAAGAGGCGGGCGGAAUUCGUGGUGUAGCGGUGAAAUGCAUAGAUAUCACGAGGAAACCCGAUUGCGAAGGCAGCCUGCCGGGGUGCGACUGACGCUGAGGCUCGAAGGUGCGGGUAUCAAACAGGAUUAGAUACCCUGGUAGUC
This 459-nucleotide ribosomal RNA is filed under the name uncultured bacterium. RNAcentral's name for it is "partial 16S ribosomal RNA". It matches the Rfam family "Bacterial small subunit ribosomal RNA", at positions 338 to 795 of the family's 1533-position model. The record is from RNAcentral.